RNAcentral lists this ribosomal RNA (492 nucleotides) under uncultured bacterium. RNAcentral describes it as "partial 16S ribosomal RNA". It matches the Rfam family "Bacterial small subunit ribosomal RNA", at positions 29 to 507 of the family's 1533-position model. The record is from RNAcentral.
AGUGAACGCUGGCGGUAGGCCUAACACAUGCAAGUCGAACGGCAGCACAGUAAGAGCUUGCUCUUACGGGUGGCGAGUGGCGGACGGGUGAGGAAUACAUCGGAAUCUACUUUUUCGUGGGGGGUAACGUAGGGAAACUUACGCUAAUACCGCAUACGACCUACGGGUGAAAGCAGGGGAUCUUCGGACCUUGCGCGAUUGAAUGAGCCGAUGUCGGAUUAGCUAGUUGGCGGGGUAUAGGCCCACCAAGGCGACGAUCCGUAGCUGGUCUGAGAGGAUGAUCAGCCACACUGGAACUGAGACACGGUCCAGACUCCUACGGGAGGCAGCAGUGGGGAAUAUUGGACAAUGGGCGCAAGCCUGAUCCAGCCAUACCGCGUGGGUGAAGAAGGCCUUCGGGUUGUAAAGCCCUUUUGUUGGGAAAGAAAAGCAGCAGGUUAAUACCCCGCUGUUCUGACGGUACCCAAAGAAUAAGCACCGGCUAACUUCGUG